This 1032-nucleotide ribosomal RNA is filed under the name Hysterobrevium mori. Its description in RNAcentral is "SSU rRNA". It matches the Rfam family "Eukaryotic small subunit ribosomal RNA", at positions 69 to 1110 of the family's 1831-position model. The record is from RNAcentral. Lineage: Eukaryota; Fungi; Ascomycota; Dothideomycetes; Hysteriales; Hysteriaceae.
GCAAUUAUACCGUGAAACUGCGAAUGGCUCAUUAAAUCAGUUAUCGUUUAUUUGAUAGUACCUUACUACUUGGAUAACCGUGGUAAUUCUAGAGCUAAUACAUGCUAAAAACCCCGACUUCGGGAGGGGUGUAUUUAUUAGAUAAAAAACCAACGCCCUUCGGGGCUCCUUGGUGAUUCAUAAUAACUUAACGGAUCGCAUGGCCUUGCGCCGGCGACGGUUCAUUCAAAUUUCUGCCCUAUCAACUUUCGAUUGUAGGGUAUUGGCCUACAAUGGUUUCAACGGGUAACGGGGAAUUAGGGUUCGAUUCCGGAGAGGGAGCCUGAGAAACGGCUACCACAUCCAAGGAAGGCAGCAGGCGCGCAAAUUACCCAAUCCCGACACGGGGAGGUAGUGACAAUAAAUACUGAUACAGGGCUCUUUUGGGUCUUGUAAUUGGAAUGAGUACAAUUUAAACCCCUUAACGAGGAACAAUUGGAGGGCAAGUCUGGUGCCAGCAGCCGCGGUAAUUCCAGCUCCAAUAGCGUAUAUUAAAGUUGUUGCAGUUAAAAAGCUCGUAGUUGAACCUUGGGCCUGGCUGGCCGGUCCGCCUCACCGCGUGCACUGGUCCGGCCGGGCCUUUCCUUCUGGAGAGCCGCAUGCCCUUCACUGGGUGUGUCGGGGAACCAGGACUUUUACUUUGAAAAAAUUAGAGUGUUCAAAGCAGGCCUUUGCUCGAAUACGUUAGCAUGGAAUAAUAGAAUAGGACGUGCGGUCCUAUUUUGUUGGUUUCUAGGACCGCCGUAAUGAUUAAUAGGGAUAGUCGGGGGCAUCAGUAUUCAAUUGUCAGAGGUGAAAUUCUUGGAUUUAUUGAAGACUAACUACUGCGAAAGCAUUUGCCAAGGAUGUUUUCAUUAAUCAGUGAACGAAAGUUAGGGGAUCGAAGACGAUCAGAUACCGUCGUAGUCUUAACCGUAAACUAUGCCGACUAGGGAUCGGGCGAUGUUAUUAUUUUGACUCGCUCGGCACCUUACGAGAAAUCAAAGUUUUUGG